RNAcentral lists this ribosomal RNA (188 nucleotides) under uncultured bacterium. RNAcentral describes it as "partial 16S ribosomal RNA". It matches the Rfam family "Bacterial small subunit ribosomal RNA", at positions 1312 to 1500 of the family's 1533-position model. The record is from RNAcentral.
UCGCCUAUAUGAAGUUGGAAUUGCUAGUAAUCGCGGAUCAGCAUGCCGCGGUGAAUACGUUCCCGGGCCUUGUACACACCGCCCGUCACACCAUGAGAGCCGGUAAUACCCGAAGUCAGUAGUCCAACCUCGUGAGGACGCUGCCGAAGGUAGGAUUGGCGACUGGGGUGAAGUCGUAACAAGGUAAC